GAUGAACGCUGGCGGCGUGCCUAAUACAUGCAAGUCGAGCGAACGGACGAGAAGCUUGCUUCUCUGAUGUUAGCGGCGGACGGGUGAGUAACACGUGGAUAACCUACCUAUAAGACUGGGAUAACUUCGGGAAACCGGAGCUAAUACCGGAUGAUAUUUUGAACCGCAUGGUUCAAAAGUGAAAGACGGUCUUGCUGUCACUUAUAGAUGGAUCCGCGCUGCAUUAGCUAGUUGGUAAGGUAACGGCUUACCAAGGCAACGAUGCAUAGCCGACCUGAGAGGGAGAUCGGCCACACUGGAACUGAGACACGGUCCAGACUCCUAAGGGAGGCAGCAGUAGGGAAUCUUCCGCAAUGGGCGAAAGCCUGACGGAGCAACGCCGCGUGAGUGAUGAAGGUCUUCGGAUCGUAAAACUCUGUUAUUAGGGAAGAACAUAUGUGUAAGUAACUGUGCACAUCUUGACGGUACCUAAUCAGAAAGCCACGGCUAACUACGUG
This 497-nucleotide ribosomal RNA is filed under the name uncultured bacterium. RNAcentral describes it as "partial 16S ribosomal RNA". It matches the Rfam family "Bacterial small subunit ribosomal RNA", at positions 28 to 507 of the family's 1533-position model. The record is from RNAcentral.